UACAGAGGGUGCAAGCGUUAAUCGGAUUUACUGGGCGUAAAGCACGCGUAGGUGGCCAAUUAAGUCAAAUGUGAAAUCCCCGAGCUUAACUUGGGAAUUGCAUUCGAUACUGGUUGGCUAGAGUAUGGGAGAGGAUGGUAGAAUUCCAAGUGUAGCGGUGAAAUGCGUAGAGAUCUGGAGGAAUACCGAUGGCGAAGGCAGCCAUCUGGCCUAAUACUGACACUGAGGUGCGAAAGCAUGGGGAGCAAACAGG
Molecule: ribosomal RNA, 253 nt
Filed under: uncultured bacterium
Lineage: Bacteria
Description: partial 16S ribosomal RNA
Rfam family: Bacterial small subunit ribosomal RNA
Source: RNAcentral